Molecule: ribosomal RNA, 484 nt
Filed under: uncultured bacterium
Lineage: Bacteria
Description: partial 16S ribosomal RNA
Rfam family: Bacterial small subunit ribosomal RNA
Source: RNAcentral
AUUGAACGCUGGCGGCAGGCCUAACACAUGCAAGUCGAGCGGACGAACGGAGCUUGCUCGCGGUUUCAGCGGGGGACGGGCGAGUAAUUCCUAGGAAUCUCCCUGGCUGCUGGGGCUAACGUCCGGACACGGGCGCUAAUACCGCAUACGCCCAGAGGGUGAACGUGGGGGAUCUUUGGACCUCACGCUCUUUGAUGAGCCUAGGUCGCAUUAGCUAGUUGGUGGGGUAAAGGCCUACCAAGGCGACGAUCCGUAGCUGGUCUGAGAGGAUGAUCAGUCACACUGGAACUGAGACACGGUCCAGACUCCUACGGGAGGCAGCAGUGGGGAAUAUUCGGCAAUGGGCGAAAGCCUGAUGCAGCAAUGCCGCGUGUGUGAAGAAGGUCUUCGGAUUGUAAAGCACUUUUAGUUGGGAAGAACAGCAGUAAGUUAAUACCUGGCUGUUUUGACGGUACCAAAAGAAUAAGCACCGGCUAACUUCGUG